RNAcentral lists this ribosomal RNA (505 nucleotides) under uncultured bacterium. RNAcentral describes it as "partial 16S ribosomal RNA". It matches the Rfam family "Bacterial small subunit ribosomal RNA", at positions 28 to 507 of the family's 1533-position model. The record is from RNAcentral.
GACGAACGCUGGCGGCGUGCCUAAUACAUGCAAGUAGAACGCACAGUUUAUACCGUAGCUUGCUACACCAUAGACUGUGAGUUGCGAACGGGUGAGUAACGCGUAGGUAACCUGCCUGGUAGCGGUGGAUAACUAUUGGAAACGAUAGCUAAUACCGCAUAAUAUUAAUUAUUGCAUGAUAAUUAAUUGAAAGGUGCAAUUGCACCACCACCAGAUGGACCUGCGUUGUAUUAGCUAGUAGGUGAGGUAACGGCUCACCUAGGCGACGAUACAUAGCCGACCUGGGAGGGUGAUCGGCCACACUGGGACUGGGACACGGCCCAGACUCCUACGGGAGGCAGCAGUAGGGAAUCUUCGGCAAUGGACGAAAGUCUGACCGAGCAACGCCGCGUGAGUGAAGAAGGUUGUCGGAUCGUAAAGCUCUGUUGUAAGAGAAGAACGGGUGUGAGAGUGGAAAGUUCACACUGUGACGGUAUCUGACCAGAAAGGGACGGCUAACUACGUG